This 6312-nucleotide long non-coding RNA is filed under the name Mytilus galloprovincialis (Mediterranean mussel). The record is from RNAcentral. Lineage: Eukaryota; Metazoa; Mollusca; Bivalvia; Mytilida; Mytilidae.
UAAAAAGCAAAAUACGGCUGAUGAAACGAACUGCUGGUAACCAAGCUUUCUAGAAGGUAUGACUUAUUCUUUUGUUAUCCAUUUCAUUUUCUUUUUUUCUCCCUUUUAUAUAGAAUGUAAAACAAAUAUUCGUGGCUUACCGAAUGAAUAUAGAAACUUAUCUUUUAAAACCAAAGGCAGAAUGUUAUAUUCAAUGGUACUAGGACUCCCUCAUUCAAAAAUUCAUCUAGACACGGACUAUUCAAUAAUGUGCAAUGAUCGUACUUUACAUACGUUUAUUAUCAGAAUGAAAACAUAAUUAUUUGGUGAGGGGUUCGGAAGCUGAACUUAAGUUCCGUUGUUUACGAACAAGAAUAAGUUGGAAAAGUAUAUCAAUGCCUUUUUCAUGUAGCUGUUAUUUAUUGAAAUAUGUUAAUUGACGAUAUGAAAUAUCAGAAAAGUUAAGGAAAAGUGCAUUAUAUACUUCAUUGGGUGAGAAAUGAGAUUACGUACAAGAAGCGGACGAUACAAAUAAUAUUUAUCAAAGGUACCAAGAUCAUAAUUUAGUACGACAGACGCGCGUUUCGUCUACAUAAGACUCAUCAUUGACGCUUAUAUCAUAAUAUUUAUCAAGCCAAACAAGAAUAAAGUUGAAGAGCAUUGAGGAUUCAAAAUUCCAAAACGUUGUGCCAAAUAUGGCUAAGGUAAUCUAUUCCUGGGAUAAGAACAUCCUUAGUUUUUAUAAAAUUCAAAGUUUUGUAAACAGGAAUUUUAUAAAAAUUACCAAAUAAUUGAUAUUCAUUACGGUGCUGACUACUGGGCUAGUUAUACCCUCGGGGACGAAACGUCCACCAGCAGUGGCAUCGACCCAGUAGUGUAAAUAGUUAUCAAAUGUACCAGAAAACAUCAUUCAAUUUUGAACUCAAUCUUAGUUUUGUGGUCAUAUCCAUGCAUUGUGGAUAGUUUCAUAACAUUUCGUUGAGGUAAACUAAAGUUCGAAACAGAAAUUAACUAUUGGAGGUAUGCAUUGACGUACAUAUGACCAAGAGUAACAUUUAAUGGCUACUCUGCUGCAUGUAGUUAUCAAAGGCUUAUAAUUUGAUACGCCAGACGCGCGUUUAGUCCUUAUAAGAGUAAUGAGUGACACUCAAAAUGGUAAGAAAGUCAAACAAGUAUAAAAUUGAUGAGUAUUCAGGACCCAAAUUUCCAAAAUAUUGUGCAAAAUACGGCUUAGGUAAUCUAUGUCUGGGAUAAGAAAAUCCUUAGUAUUUUGAAUAAUUCGUGCAUUUACAAACAAUUAAUGGCUUCCGAUACAGUUUCAAGGGAGUUAACUCUUGGCGCGACGUUAAGUGUUUGAAUUCACACAAAACGUAACUUCUUGCGGGACGUAAUGCGUGUAAUUUUCCGGAAUAAGAAACGUAAUGUGGAAUUUCGAUUUCUCCCGCAUGUUAAAUUCUACGCCAUUACUAUUAGUGUAUUUGAUUCUAUGAGGAUAAAAGUCUAAUAACUUCAUUACAAAUAAAACAAAUUACUGUUUCUUUGAGAUCUUCAACAAAAUAUCGUAUAGUGAACAAUCUCAAGACGAAUGACCCUUUUGGUGCAUGUCAAUUAUAAUUUUUAUUAUCAUUCAUCUUCCAUGACAUUUUAUUACAGCACAGGAAACCAAUGAUAUUUUAAAAGUAAUACCGAAAAUGUAGGUGCACGCCGCUAAUAUAAACAAUGAUACAACUUUUAUAAAAGAACAAAGUUCUUAUUUCUUCCACGUUGCACGUAUUUUAUCUAACAAAAGGCAAUAGCUAACAAUAGUUUAUGCACCCGUAAAAAUUUUUACGGGACGUAUUAUAUUGAUUAUUUGGAAAACAAAAGGGCCUGGAGUGGAGUAUGUUUUAAUCAACAACAUUGUCUUAUAAUAAGUAAAAAUAAAGUUGAAUUCUUUGAUUCGCUGUUUUACGUCAUGCCGGCUAACAAAUUGAAAACUGUACCUUUACGCCUUAUUUAAAGUCCAGAUUUUUAGUAUUCGUUUUGUCAUCUGAGAAAGUCAUACUGAUUAAAAUACUACAAUAGGGAACAAUUUGACAAUGCUUAUUAUGACCCGUGUAUAUAGUAAAAUCCUAAAUACACCGUUCUAUAUAAGCUAUAUAUAAAGUUGAAUUUUUGAUUUGUCGUUUUGCCCCAUGACGGCUGACAAAUUGGACCUCAUUAUUUCAGUAUUAUAGAUAGUUUCAUUGUUUGGACAAUUUAAAAGCAUUCUUUAGCUAAUUGAAGAUUCUCCUUUAAACGAUUUUGCUUUUGUUUUCUGACCACAUAAAACAGAAGACGUGGUAUAAUUGCCAAUAAGACAACUCCCAACAAGAGAAAAACAUGACACAGAAAUUAAUAACUAUGUCACCGUAUGGUCUUCAACAAUAAGCAAAGCCCAUAUAGCAUAGUCAGAUUUGAAAGGUCACGAAAUGACAAUGUAAAACAAUUCAAACGAAAAAAGUAACGGCCUAAUUUACGUGCUGCAAUUUAUGUACAAAAAAAGAAGUUCCGUUUGCAGGAUAAUGCUGAAUUCACACGUACAUGUAAUUCGAAUUCGAUUCGCAUUAACUAAUUGGAAUUAGUUAGAUUCGUAUUCGAAAUGUUUUACAUCCUAUCGUAAAUUCUAAUUCGAAUUGCAAUACGCGUUAAAUUUGAGUUACUGUCCAAACGACGUUAACUUUUAAUUCGUAUCAACAAAUCCGGAUUUCUCAGGAACGUGAAUAAAAGGAUUUUAAGGAAUAUUUGUAAUGAAAAAGGAGCCCACCAAACAAAACAAAAUAAAUCUAGAGGUCAACAUUCGGUAUGAAACAAUAUACGAGUGUGUACAGUAAAUGUACCUGUAUGUCAAGUUCUGAAUUGCCGAGUCUUUAAUUUUAAAAGCCGUAAACAUUAUCAACAGUCCGUAAUACCUUUUCUUCAGAUGUUUCUUACUAAGACCACAAACAGAGAGAGAGGUUUGUGUUAUUCACAUGAUUUGAUUUUCGGAAACAAUAUUACCAACUUAUAGAUAGUAAUUUACAUGCAAAAUAAUCUGAAAAAUGUCGCCGGUAAUUUGCAGAGAUAACGUCUAAAUUAUCUGCCUGCGACGUCGUGCACUUUAGCGCUAACGUUGAGGUUAUAAAGGGGGGACGCAAUUUUGAGAAUAUAUCGCGUUUUUCAUUGAAUUAAGCUCGGUGACCUAUAUUUUUUCCUUGAGAUAAUUUGGAUUUGGAGAAAGCAUAAAAAAAUGCAGUUUAUGCAGAAAAAUGCUUGAAAUGACAUUUUCGGAAACAGUUUAUUUCCAUAUUUUUAGGUUUAAAAAAAAUACCACUUUGAGCAUAUGGUCCGCAAUGUCAAGCAAGGCUUGAAUAAUUGUAUAGUUAGUCGUGUAGUGAUUUAUUUUUUCCCCUUUUUGUCACUUAUCACAGCUUUAGAUUGAACCCGAUCUUAAUAGUUUACGACGAAAAUAUCUGCUCCCAAACAUUUUUUAACAUUGCUUAAUUUUUUUAAAGAAUUGCAUAAAUCCUCAAUUUUCAGCCUCACUUUUCCCGAAAAACGAGCACGGUUACCUAUGUUUUAUUUUAUGUUUUAUUUUAUAACACGACAAUGCCUACAACAUAUUAAAAAAUUAUAAGAAUGACAUUUUAUCGAGAAACUGUAUCGGAUGCCCUUAGGUUUUUUUUAAAUUUUUAAAAGAGCAUAUAAUUGAUAUCCAUAUCAACACCGAAGUGCUGACUACUGGGCUGGUGAUAUACUCCGAAACGUCCACCAUCAGUGGCAUCGAUCCAGUAAAUACUUACCAAAGGUAUCAGACUUAUAAUUUGAUAUGCAUGAAUAAAAACGAAACAAACAAACACAGAAAAAAAGUUCAGGAAUAUCUAAAGGAAGAACUAAUUGACUAUUUUUAUUUAGAUUUUCAAGUGUAUCUAACUCUGAAGCAUGCAGAAGUUUCUUGCUAUCCUAGGUCUAGUUGUUUUCCUAGCUGGUGAGUUGCACAUUAUAUAUUAUCAACAGUAUUAAGUUGAAAAAGGGAAAAUAUAUCAAUAUAUAAACAAAUUAGUUCUCUAAACUUGCUUACCCUAACCUGUUUGUAGUAGUGUGUUGAUGAGUUGCUCUCACAAUGACGAAGAUCCUAUUGCACCUUUUAUGCAAAGCGUUCAGUUGAUACCAAGAAAGAUAAUUAUGCAAAAGAAUUGUCUAAUUAUCAAAUCACGUUGGAAAAAAUGUUUUGCAAAGUCCUAUUUUAUUAAAAUAAUCACAUGUUUAGACGAACAGCAAUCAAAGAGAGAUGUACGAAAAUUUACAGUGCAAAGUUAACAAUUACAAAAACAAGAUUAAUUAUCAAGCUAAAGAACAAUACUGAUAAUUAACCACGAGCACUUGUGAAUUAAUAUCUUAAUCAUUUGAUAUUUUUUUUUCUAUAAUUCUUUUUGUUUGUCUGCAUGAUUAGUUAUUCUUUAAUUAACGAGUAUUAUAACGUAGUAUGUUUGCAUGCAGUCUUAUGUUUAGAAACCCUGCAUCGACGCCUUUAUAUUGGAUGUUUUCUAGUUCUCUCUCUCUCUCUAGUCAUGCCUAACGUGACGUUAUGUCAAAUUGGAAGUUAUAACGUUACUUCUAUGAUUCAUUCGGGACGUCGAUUUGACAGCUUUUAAAAAGGAAAGUCACAAAAAUACUGAACUUAGAGGAAAAUCAAUUCGGAAAGUCCAUAAUCACAUGGCAAAAUCAAAUAACAAAACGCGUCAAAAACGAAUAGACAAGAACUGUCAUUUUCCUGACUUUGUACAGGCAGAGCAAGACAUAAUUUUGAAAACUUUAUUUCCAUAAACGGAUCCACACCUAAAUAUAUUGGAUGUUGAUUGUUGAUAUUUCUAGACAUUAAAUAUGUAUUGAAAUGCAUAUAGAAAUGAAAGAGGUCCUUUGUCGUUAUAACUGCAAAAACUCUAAACUAUUAUGACAUAAUUUCAGUUGUGGAACAAACUUCAGGACAGAUAUGUUCUGAGAAUUUUUGCCGUUUUCAGACAAAUAACUGUGGAUGUCAAGGCUGUUGUGUGGGGAAAUUAGGUUUAAAGUUUGGUAGAUGUGAACGACGUUCACCACCGGUCUCUAGUUGUUUCUGUUAUCGAAAUGAUCGUAAGUAUUAGACGUGAAAAAUCGCACUUUGUUUUGUUCGUACUAAGGUUGUAUUCAAUCUGAGUACACAAGGAUAAUACAUUUAGUAUAGAAAUAAAAAAAAAUAUCAAGGAUCUGCAUGGAUUUACGGGUAAUGGAAAAUAUUAAAUCAUUGUAUAGUGGCUAAAUAGAUGCUUAUGGUAAAAUAUAUUUCACUCGGAAAUAUUUCGGAAUUGAUGAAGUUUUGUAUGCUUUUACAAUAUAAUGUUAAUUACAAUUUUAUCACAUUGGUCUCAUGUGUAAUGUUCUAAAAGUAUUUGUAGUCUUUUUUAUCCAUAAAAAUCAAUAAGUCAGAAUAUGUAGCGUGAAAAAUAGUAUUAAUAUAUAAAAUAAAAGAAAUAUAACGUAGUGAUGGUGUCACGUUGGAGGAUCGUUUUUGUUAUAUAAUGUUUUCAUACAUUUCUCAUAUCUAAAAGAGGGGAAAGAUACUGAAAGGAUAUUCAAGUUUACAAGUUGAUAACACACUGACAAUGGCAUAUCAAAACAAUCUACAAUAAACAAAAUACAACAUAUAACACUUAAAAACGAGCAACAAGAACACAACAAAGGAAAAGGAUUAUUCUCAGGUUCUCCGAAGAGGUAAGCAGAUCUUGCCCCAUUGGCCGAACACCAAAAGGAGAAAGACAUAAAAAGAUAUCACGAUGACCCGUAAUAUUCUGUUUUCGUUCAAUGUUGGUCACAUUUAUUAGCCUUAUUUAAAUUUCAUUAGGUGACUAUAUCGAUAUAAGCCUCAUCUUAUAUUAUUGGCCAAUGGGUGCCCAGGCUAAAAUAGUUUGAGUCACAAUUUUUUUAAUUUAUCAAAUUCACCUUCUUUUCAACUAAAUAGUAAUUUUUCUAAAAAAUAUUAUAUAUAUAUAUCUAAAGUAUGAAUACGUAGCAUAGUUAUAUCUUAGAAAAGAACAGGGUCGAGUUAAACACAUGCGAUAAAGAAAAGUAACUGCACCGUUUUUAAAUUAGAAAAGUAUUUAUAUCGGUUAAUGCAAGUGUACUUUUUCAGCUGAUGGAGCAGCAGCUGCCGAAUCGUCAGAAAAUUAACCGCCAGUUUAGAACUAUGAAAAGAUGGCAGAGAUGUUGGUUCUGAAAUAAAAUACUAAAAAGAACUAUCUGAUGAAUGUAUUUUGUUAUUCUUGUGAAUGCAAACAUAGGAUUUUCUUGGGUUUUUCC